RNAcentral lists this unclassified non-coding RNA (282 nucleotides) under plant metagenome. RNAcentral describes it as "partial contains small subunit ribosomal RNA, internal transcribed spacer 1, and 5.8S ribosomal RNA". The stretch from base 1 to 53 matches the Rfam family "Eukaryotic small subunit ribosomal RNA", at positions 1778 to 1831 of the family's 1831-position model. The record is from RNAcentral.
GGAAGUAAAAGCGUAACAAGGUUUCCGUAGGUGAACCUGCGGAAGGAUCAUUAUUGUAUAACCGAGGUGCGAGGGCUGUCGCUGACCCGAAAGGUCGUGCACGCCCGAGUGCCCUCACACGUCCAUCUCACCCCUAUGUGCACCACCGCGUGGGUCCCCCUUUGGCUUGUUCGGAGGGGGGCUUACGUUUUCACACAAACUUUGUAUGCAGUGUAGAAUGUAUUUUUUGUUUUUGCGAUCACGCAAUCAAUACAACUUUCAACAACGGAUCUCUUGGCUCUC